This 109-nucleotide small nuclear RNA is filed under the name Salmo salar (Atlantic salmon). RNAcentral describes it as "U5 spliceosomal RNA (ENSSSAG00000120161.1)". It matches the Rfam family "U5 spliceosomal RNA". Rfam says of the family: U5 RNA is a component of both types of known spliceosome. The precise function of this molecule is unknown, though it is known that the 5' loop is required for splice site selection and p220 binding, and that both the 3' stem-loop and the Sm site are important for Sm protein binding and cap methylation. The record is from RNAcentral. Lineage: Eukaryota; Metazoa; Chordata; Actinopteri; Salmoniformes; Salmonidae.
CGACUCUGCCUCUCUUCACGCACAGUUUUCGCCUUUACUAAAGACCUCCGUGGAGAGGAACACUUACGAGUUCAACGCAUUUUUGAAGGGUUUUGGUUUUGGCAGAGCC